Molecule: ribosomal RNA, 446 nt
Filed under: uncultured bacterium
Lineage: Bacteria
Description: partial 16S ribosomal RNA
Rfam family: Bacterial small subunit ribosomal RNA
Source: RNAcentral
CCUACGGGAGGCUGCAGUCGAGAAUCAUUCACAAUGGGGGAAACCCUGAUGGUGCGACGCCGCGUGGGGGAAUGAAGGUCUUCGGAUUGUAAACCCCUGUCAUGUGGGAGCAAAUUAAAAAGAUAGUACCACAAGAGGAAGAGACGGCUAACUCUGUGCCAGCAGCCGCGGUAAUACAGAGGUCUCAAGCGUUGUUCGGAAUCACUGGGCGUAAGGCGUGCGUAGGCUGUUUCGUAAGUCGUGUGUGAAAGGCGCGGGCUCAACCCGCGGACGGCACAUGAUACUGCGAGACUAGAGUAAUGGAGGGGGAACCGGAAUUCGCGGUGUAGCAGUGAAAUGCGUAGAUAGCGAGAGGAACACUCGUGGCGAAGGCGGGUUCCUGGACAUUAACUGACGCUGAGGCACGAAGGCCAGGGGAGCGAAAGGGAUUAGAUACCCCUGUAGUC